GACGCUGGCGGCGUGCCUAAUACAUGCAAGUCGAGCGGACAGAUGGGAGCUUGCUCCCUGAUGUUAGCGGCGGACGGGUGAGUAACACGUGGGUAACCUGCCUGUAAGACUGGGAUAACUCCGGGAAACCGGGGCUAAUACCGGAUGGUUGUUUGAACCGCAUGGUUCAAACAUAAAAGGUGGCUUCGGCUACCACUUACAGAUGGACCCGCGGCGCAUUAGCUAGUUGGUGAGGUAACGGCUCACCAAGGCAACGAUGCGUAGCCGACCUGAGAGGGUGAUCGGCCACACUGGGACUGAGACACGGCCCAGACUCCUACGGGAGGCAGCAGUAGGGAAUCUUCCGCAAUGGACGAAAGUCUGACGGAGCAACGCCGCGUGAGUGAUGAAGGUUUUCGGAUCGUAAAGCUCUGUUGUUAGGGAAGAACAAGUACCGUUCGAAUAGGGCGGUACCUUGACGGUACCUAACCAGAAAGCCACGGCUAACUACGUGCCAGCAGCCGCGGUAAUACGUAGGUGGCAAGCGUUGUCCGGAAUUAUUGGGCGUAAAGGGCUCGCAGGCGGUUUCUUAAGUCUGAUGUGAAAGCCCCCGGCUCAACCGGGGAGGGUCAUUGGAAACUGGGGAACUUGAGUGCAGAAGAGGAGAGUGGAAUUCCACGUGUAGCGGUGAAAUGCGUAGAGAUGUGGAGGAACACCAGUGGCGAAGGCGACUCUCUGGUCUGUAACUGACGCUGAGGAGCGAAAGCGUGGGGAGCGAACAGGAUUAGAUACCCUGGUAGUCCACGCCGUAAACGAUGAGUGCUAAGUGUUAGGGGGUUUCCGCCCCUUAGUGCUGCAGCUAACGCAUUAAGCACUCCGCCUGGGGAGUACGGUCGCAAGACUGAAACUC
RNAcentral lists this ribosomal RNA (889 nucleotides) under Bacillus subtilis. Its description in RNAcentral is "bacterial SSU rRNA". It matches the Rfam family "Bacterial small subunit ribosomal RNA", at positions 32 to 902 of the family's 1533-position model. The record is from RNAcentral. Lineage: Bacteria; Bacillati; Bacillota; Bacilli; Caryophanales; Bacillaceae.